Molecule: ribosomal RNA, 513 nt
Filed under: uncultured bacterium
Lineage: Bacteria
Description: partial 16S ribosomal RNA
Rfam family: Bacterial small subunit ribosomal RNA
Source: RNAcentral
GAUGAACGCUGGCGGCGUGCCUAAUACAUGCAAGUCGAGCGAACGGAUAAGGAGCUUGCUCCUUUGAAGUUAGCGGCGGACGGGUGAGUAACACGUGGGUAACCUACCUAUAAGACUGGAAUAACUUCGGGAAACCGGAGCUAAUGCCGGAUAACAUUUGGAACUGCAUGGUUCUAAAGUAAAAGAUGGUUUUGCUAUCACUGAUAGAUGGAUCCGCGCCGUAUUAGCUAGUUGGUAAGGUAACGGCUUACCAAGGCAACGAUACGUAGCCGACCUGGGAGGGUGAUCGGCCACACUGGAACUGAGACACGGUCCAGACUCCUACGGGAGGCAUCAGUAGGGAAUCUUCCGCAAUGGACGAAAGUCUGACGGAGCAACGCCGCGUGAGUGAUGAAGGUUUUCGGAUCGUAAAACUCUGUUAUUAGGGGAGAACAAAUGUGUAAGUAACUGUGCACAUCUUGACGGUACCUAAUCAGAAAGCCACGGCUAACUACGUGCCAGCCGCCGCCGUAA